GAUAAAUUCUCAGGAGUGAAAUUACAGAGUCAAAGAUCAUGAAAUAAUAACUAAAAUAUAAUGUUUCCAAUGGCCGCUUCUUAUCUGAUCAUCAUUCAAGCCUUUUUAUUGGUUUGUCCUUCAGUACUACAACAAAAUGGAACACAAGAAGAAAUUAAAUGUAUGGAUCAAAUAAAGAAAAUGGAAACAACUGGUUGCAACCAAGAAAUAACAUCAUUUGAAAUUAAUCUGAAGGAAAAAAAGUACCAGGAGGACUUUAACCCGCUGGUGAGAGGAUGUUCCUGUUACUGCUGUAAGAAUCACACUCGGGCAUAUAUCCACCAUCUGCUGGUGACCAAUGAGCUGCUGGCCGGAGUCCUGCUUAUGAUGCACAACUUUGAACACUACUUUGGGUUUUUCCAUUACAUCCGGGAAGCACUAAAAAGUGACAAACUGACACAGUUGAAAGAGCUCAUCCACAGGCAGGCAUCUUGAGAUCUUGCAAAUAUAAGUCUCACUCUUCACACUGAGCCUGUACCACUGUUGUAACAUGGGAAGACGUGAAGAAGAAAUAAUUUGAGCUUUAAUUAUUUAUAUUUGGACAUAAGGUCUGCUAAAAUAAAGAAUAUUUGUACCAAACUGCCCACAUGAGGGUGAAGAGAUUUCCUCAAAAGACUUAAAUGACCUGGAUUGAUCAGAGAGAAUUGAACUGUGACCUUUAAAACUUCUAGACUAAUUCUUUUAGUUGAUAGAGAUUCAUUUAGUCAAAGACAGAAGCUUUAACUGUGAGGGCACAACCUUGAAGUGGGAGUGAUGAGAUUCUGAGGGACCAAUGAAUUGGAUU
RNAcentral lists this small RNA (823 nucleotides) under Pongo abelii (Sumatran orangutan). RNAcentral's name for it is "retained intron". The record is from RNAcentral. Lineage: Eukaryota; Metazoa; Chordata; Mammalia; Primates; Hominidae.